RNAcentral lists this ribosomal RNA (345 nucleotides) under uncultured bacterium. RNAcentral's name for it is "bacterial SSU rRNA". It matches the Rfam family "Bacterial small subunit ribosomal RNA", at positions 527 to 871 of the family's 1533-position model. The record is from RNAcentral.
GUAGGAGGCAAGUGUUGUUCGGAAUUAUUGGGCGUAAAGAGCAUGUAGGCGGCUUUGUAAGUCAGGGGUGAAAUCCCUCGGCUCAACCGAGGAAGUGCCUUUGAAACUACAGAGCUUGAGUAUGAGAGAGGAAAGCGGAAUUUCCAGUGUAGCGGUGAAAUGCGUAGAUAUUGGAAAGAACACCGGUGGCGAAGGCGGCUUUCUGGAUCAUUACUGACGCUGAGAUGCGAAAGCCAGGGGAGCGAACGGGAUUAGAUACCCCGGUAGUCCUGGCCGUAAACUAUGGAUACUAGGUAUAGGAGGUAUCGACUCCUUCUGUGCCGUAGCUAACGCGUUAAGUAUCCG